Oncorhynchus tshawytscha (Chinook salmon) is the source of this 1089-nucleotide long non-coding RNA. NCBI's taxonomy places the organism in Eukaryota, Metazoa, Chordata, Actinopteri, Salmoniformes, Salmonidae. The record is from Ensembl.
AGGAUGAUGUAUCACAGUUGGAUUGAUUCCAACUUCUGAUAUACACAGCCUGAGGCUAAUGACUGGACAAUCGUUCAAGACAGAAUGUUGACUAAAAUUACAUUUGAAUUUAAUGUACGGGAAGACCGAUUAGCUGUGAAGUCACUUUGGCCGGAGAAAGAUGGCGUCGCUUCUAUCCCCUACAAGAUCAACGAUGAUCUGGUGGACAGAAAGAAAACCAUGCUAGCAGCGUUCAAGCUCAUUUCAGACCAGACGUGUAUCCGCUUCCACGAAUACACCAAUGAGAUUAACUACAUCGAGUUCAUCUCUGGGACAGGAAUGUUUUGGGACUAUAUCAAAAAGACUAAUGAAACAAUACAGGUUGACCAGGUCUAUUUUGCUGUAGUGUUCUUCCGCGAUGACCUGUGCCAUGACGGCAUGGAUGGUUUUCUCUGUGGGGAAGAAGCGCCUCAGCGGCGGCGGGGUCGUGUCUUGGAACAGCCCCGUCCGCACGUACUGGACCAUCUGGUUCUUUACCUCCUUCACCUUCCUCACCCCCUGCUGCACCAACGCUCGGAUGUAACCUUUGACCCUGUCGUCCAUCUGAUCUGCACCCGAGGGAACGAGGAGAGAGUGGCUUUUGUUAAGUAGGGAGAAAAUACCCCUAACCACUGUUACAGGGUCAGAUACUUGUAUUCCACAGGGAAUUUCAAGAGAUCAAGGAUUUAUUACGUCUGUGUACCGAACAGGCAUACAGAUACUAGUUAUGUAGCCUAAAGUGAGUCCAAUACAAUAGAUCCCAUGGUCAUAGUAUAGUAAUAACAUAGUAAUACCUUUCCAAUAGGAUGGCCCUUGUGGUCAGUGACACUGGGUAUUUUGAGGAAAUACUGUAUCUUCCACUGCACUGAGGCUGGGUCUGUCUGGAGAGCUUGUUUGAUGGAAAUAGACAUGACCCUCAACCAUGAUGUGUCCUUCUCCAACUGAUGCAGUAUGGAGCGAGCGCACACACACACACAGAGAGAUAUAAUUAUGUAUAUUAGUCUGAUGUGCAUUCUAAUGUUGACUGUGGUGCACGGUCACUGGAGUUACAUAAUAAACAUAUAUAAACAA